GGACUGUAGGCUGCAACUCGCCUACACGAAGUCGGAAUCGCUAGUAAUCGCGGAUCAGCAUGCCGCGGUGAAUACGUUCCCGGGCCUUGUACACACCGCCCGUCACACCAUGGAAGUUUGCAAUGCCCAAAGUCGGUGGCCUAACCAUUUGGAGGGAACCGCCUAAGGCAGGGCAGAUGACUGGGGUGAAGUCGUAACAAGGUAAC
Molecule: ribosomal RNA, 206 nt
Filed under: uncultured bacterium
Lineage: Bacteria
Description: partial 16S ribosomal RNA
Rfam family: Bacterial small subunit ribosomal RNA
Source: RNAcentral